This 569-nucleotide ribosomal RNA is filed under the name uncultured bacterium. RNAcentral describes it as "partial 16S ribosomal RNA". It matches the Rfam family "Bacterial small subunit ribosomal RNA", at positions 355 to 914 of the family's 1533-position model. The record is from RNAcentral.
UAGGGAAUCUUCCACAAUGGACGCAAGUCUGAUGGAGCAACGCCGCGUGAGUGAAGAAGGUUUUCGGACCGUAAAGCUCUGUUGUUGGUAAAGAAGGAUAGAGGUAGUAACUGGCCUUUAUUUGACGGUAAUCAACCAGAAAGUCACGGCUAACUACGUGCCAGCAGCCGCGGUAAUACGUAGGUGGCAAGCGUUGUCCGGAUUUAUUGGGCGUAAAGCGAGCGCAGGCGGAAGAAUAAGUCUGAUGUGAAAGCCCUCGGCUUAACCGAGGAAUUGCAUCGGAAACUGUUUUCUUGAGUGCAGAAGAGGAGAGUAGAACUCCAUGUGUAGCGGUGGAAUGCGUAGAUAUAUGGAAGAAUACCAGUGGCGAAGGCGGCUCUCUGGUCUGCAACUGACGCUGAGGCUCGAAAGCAUGGGUAGCGAACAGGAUUAGAUACCCUGGCAGUCCAUGCCGUAAACGAUGAGUGCUAAGUGUUGGGAGGCUUCCGCCUCUCAGUGCUGCAGCUAACGCAUUAAGCACUCCGCCUGGGGGAGUACGACCGCAAGGUUGAAACUCAAAGUGAAUUGAC